RNAcentral lists this ribosomal RNA (496 nucleotides) under uncultured bacterium. Its description in RNAcentral is "partial 16S ribosomal RNA". It matches the Rfam family "Bacterial small subunit ribosomal RNA", at positions 28 to 507 of the family's 1533-position model. The record is from RNAcentral.
GAUGAACGCUGGCGGCGUGCCUAAUACAUGCAAGUCGAGCGAACGGACGAGAAGCUUGCUUCUCUGAUGUUAGCGGCGGACGGGUGAGUAACACGUGGAUAACCUACCUAUAAGACUGGGAUAACUUCGGGAAACCGGAGCUAAUACCGGAUAAUAUUUUGAACCGCAUGGUUCAAAAGUGAAAGACGGUCUUGCUGUCACUUAUAGAUGGAUCCGCGCUGCAUUAGCUAGUUGGUAAGGUAACGGCUUACCAAGGCAACGAUGCAUAGCCGACCUGAGAGGUGGAUCGCCAACACUGGACCUGAGCAACGUCCCAGACUCUUAGGGAGGCAGCAGUAGGGAAUCUUCCGCAAUGGGCGAAAGCCUGACGGAGCAACGCCGCGUGAGUGAUGAAGGUCUUCGGAUCGUAAAACUCUGUUAUUAGGGAAGAACAUAUGUGUAAGUAACUGUGCACAUCUUGACGGUACCUAAUCAGAAAGCCACGGCUAACUACGUG